This 70-nucleotide ribosomal RNA is filed under the name Vibrio alginolyticus. Its description in RNAcentral is "partial 16S ribosomal RNA". It matches the Rfam family "Bacterial small subunit ribosomal RNA", at positions 1464 to 1533 of the family's 1533-position model. RNAcentral also lists the same sequence under 3 other names. The record is from RNAcentral. Lineage: Bacteria; Pseudomonadati; Pseudomonadota; Gammaproteobacteria; Vibrionales; Vibrionaceae.
GUGGUUCAUGACUGGGGUGAAGUCGUAACAAGGUAGCGCUAGGGGAACCUGGCGCUGGAUCACCUCCUUA